GAUGAACGCUGGCGGCGUGCUUAACACAUGCAAGUCGAACGAUGAAGCCCAGCUUGCUGGGUGGAUUAGUGGCGAACGGGUGAGUAACACGUGAGUAACCUGCCCUUAACUCUGGGAUAAGCCUGGGAAACUGGGUCUAAUACCGGAUAGGAGCGCCUACCGCAUGGUGGGUGUUGGAAAGAUUUAUCGGUUUUGGAUGGACUCGCGGCCUAUCAGCUUGUUGGUGAGGUAAUGGCUCACCAAGGCGACGACGGGUAGCCGGCCUGAGAGGGUGACCGGCCACACGGGGACUGAGACACGGCCCAGACGCCUACGGGAGGCAGCAGUGGGGAGUAUUACACAAUGGGCGAAAGCCAGAUGCGGCGACGCCGCGUGAGGGAUGACGGCCUUCGGGUUGUAAACCUCUUUCAGUAGGGAAGAAGCGAAAGUGACGGUACCUGCAGAAGAAGCACCGGCUAACUACGUG
Molecule: ribosomal RNA, 466 nt
Filed under: uncultured bacterium
Lineage: Bacteria
Description: partial 16S ribosomal RNA
Rfam family: Bacterial small subunit ribosomal RNA
Source: RNAcentral